GACGAACGCUGGCGGCGUGCUUAACACAUGCAAGUCGAACGGAAAGGCCCUGCUUUUGUGGGGUGCUCGAGUGGCGAACGGGUGAGUAACACGUGAGUAACCUGCCCUUGACUUUGGGAUAACUUCAGGAAACUGGGGCUAAUACCGGAUAGGAGCUCCUGCUGCAUGGUGGGGGUUGGAAAGUUUCGGCGGUUGGGGAUGGACUCGCGGGUUAUCAGCUUGUUGGUGGGGUAGUGGCUUACCAAGGCUUUGACGGGUAGCCGGCCUGAGAGGGUGACCGGCCACAUUGGGACUGAGAGACGGCCCAGACUCCUACGGGAGGCAGCAGUGGGGAAUAUUGCACAAUGGGCGGAAGCCUGAUGCAGCAACGCCGCGUGCGGGAUGACGGCCUUCGGGUUGUAAACCGCUUUCGCCUGUGACGAAGCGGGAGUGACGGUAAUGGGUAAAGAAGCACCGGCUAACUACGUG
Molecule: ribosomal RNA, 468 nt
Filed under: uncultured bacterium
Lineage: Bacteria
Description: partial 16S ribosomal RNA
Rfam family: Bacterial small subunit ribosomal RNA
Source: RNAcentral